Molecule: non-coding RNA, 31 nt
Filed under: Rattus norvegicus (Norway rat)
Lineage: Eukaryota; Metazoa; Chordata; Mammalia; Rodentia; Muridae
Source: RNAcentral
UCCUGCUAGGUUGACCUUAAUCCCACACAGG